GGGGGCCCGCAAGCGGUGGAGCAUGUGGUUUAAUUCGAUGCAACGCGAAGAACCUUACCUGCUCUUGACAUCCACGGAAGACUGCAGAGAUGCGGUUGUGCCUUCGGGAACCGUGAGACAGGUGCUGCAUGGCUGUCGUCAGCUCGUGUUGUGAAAUGUUGGGUUAAGUCCCGCAGCGAGCGCAACCCUUAUCCUUUGUUGCCAGCGAUUCGGUCGGGAACUCAAAGGAGACUGCCGGUGAUAAACCGGAGGAAGGUGGGGAUGACGUCAAGUCAUCAUGGCCCUUACGAGCAGGGCUACACACGUGCUACAAUGGCGCAUACAAAGAGAAGCGACCUCGCGAGAGCAAGCGGACCUCAUAAAGUGCGUCGUAGUCCGGAUCGGAGUCUGCAACUCGACUCCGUGAAGUCGGAAUCGCUAGUAAUCGUGGAUCAGAAUGCCACGGUGAAUACGUUCCCGGGGCCUUGUACACACC
RNAcentral lists this ribosomal RNA (475 nucleotides) under uncultured bacterium. RNAcentral's name for it is "bacterial SSU rRNA". It matches the Rfam family "Bacterial small subunit ribosomal RNA", at positions 915 to 1391 of the family's 1533-position model. The record is from RNAcentral.